Molecule: ribosomal RNA, 376 nt
Filed under: Escherichia coli
Lineage: Bacteria; Pseudomonadati; Pseudomonadota; Gammaproteobacteria; Enterobacterales; Enterobacteriaceae
Description: partial 23S ribosomal RNA
Rfam family: Bacterial large subunit ribosomal RNA
Source: RNAcentral
UUAAGCGUGUAGGCUGGUUUUCCAGGCAAAUCCGGAAAAUCAAGGCUGAGGCGUGAUGACGAGGCACUACGGUGCUGAAGCAACAAAUGCCCUGCUUCCAGGAAAAGCCUCUAAGCAUCAGGUAACAUCAAAUCGUACCCCAAACCGACACAGGUGGUCAGGUAGAGAAUACCAAGGCGCUUGAGAGAACUCGGGUGAAGGAACUAGGCAAAAUGGUGCCGUAACUUCGGGAGAAGGCACGCUGAUAUGUAGGUGAAGCGACUUGCUCGUGGAGCUGAAAUCAGUCGAAGAUACCAGCUGGCUGCAACUGUUUAUUAAAAACACAGCACUGUGCAAACACGAAAGUGGACGUAUACGGUGUGACGCCUGCCCGGUG